GCAAAAGCAGUCGAAGAAUUUGGGAGAAGAAAAGCAAUCGAAGAAGCCAAGCUAGAGAGGAGAAGGAAAUGGGAAAAUCGAAGAGAGCUCAGAGAAGAAGGCAACCUUGACUCAGGAAGUGGACUCGCGGCGGCGCGGACUCGCGGCAGCGGAGGAUGAGGCAGCGAGCGGAGGUCCAUCAGCGAGAAGAAUCAGAA
Molecule: long non-coding RNA, 197 nt
Organism: Ipomoea triloba (trilobed morning glory)
Lineage: Eukaryota; Viridiplantae; Streptophyta; Magnoliopsida; Solanales; Convolvulaceae
Exons: 2
Source: RefSeq, a predicted model, not a curated record